RNAcentral lists this long non-coding RNA (3994 nucleotides) under Betula platyphylla (Asian white birch). The record is from RNAcentral. Lineage: Eukaryota; Viridiplantae; Streptophyta; Magnoliopsida; Fagales; Betulaceae.
ACAGUAAUAAAUGGCAAAGCUGAUCAAAGCACCAAUCUACAUAAGAAAUCGCAACUAAAUGAUUGAACUGAAAAGCCGCAGCAUAAAAACAAGAACAAAGAAAAAUCAAAACAAACAGAAAGAAUUCCUUAAAUAGACAGGACAAGAGAACUUAUUGCCACAACAAACUCCGUCCAACCAAGAAAAAGAAAGCCCCAAUCAAUACUAUCUGCGCCCUCCUUGUAGAUAUAUUAGCACUAAAUUCUUCACACCUUUUCCAGACUGGUUUAAAAGAGAAGCAAACCGAUGAUGACAAGCCAACUUUGCAAGAACCCAAAGUUGUAUCAGCAGAAUCUAUAAAAUAAAUCAAAACAAGGAAUAAGGACAUGUCUGAGAGAACAGCAUAUAGCAGAGUUCUAAGCAACUUGUGAAAAGAAAGAUAGGGAAAAAAAAGAAUUUCACUCAAAUAUCCGCCCAGCAGUGGAAACACUAGAGAAUGCAAACCUGGUUCACAUAACCACCGACUUACUUUGUGUAUUGUAAUGAGCUAUUAACCUAAGAUUACCAAUUAGCGACACCUAACCAAAAAGAUUGCAAACCUGGUUGACAUAACCACCGACUUACUUUGUGUAAUGUAAUGAGCUAUUAACCUGAGAUUUACCAAUUAGCGACACCUAACCAAAAAGAUGCAACAUUUAUGCUGGUUUAAGAGAAACAAACCGAUGUCGACAAGCCAACUUUGCAAGAACCCAAAGUUGUGGCAGCAGAAUCUAUAAAAUAAAUCGAAACAAGGAAUGAGGACAUGUGUGAGAGAACAGCAUAUACAGGCUUCUAAAUAAAUCGAAAUAAUGCGAGAGAAAAAAAAGCAUUUCACUUAUUUCCGCAGAACGACCAACUUCAAAAACUCUUGCUCAAACACGAGAAACCCCAAAUCACAACCUCCAUCUGUCAACAGAUCAACUAGAAAUUUUCAAACAGCUUGCUCUUGAGUUAUCCCAAAAUACCGCAAAGAAGUGGAAAACUUGAGAUUGCAAACCUGGUUGACAUAACCACCGACUUACUUUGUGUAAUGUAAUGAGCUAUUAACAUGAGAUUACCAAUUCGUGACACCUAACCAAAAAGAUGCAACAUUUAUGCUGGUUUAAAAGACAAACAACCUAUGUCGACAAGCCAACUUUGCAAGAACCCAAAGUUGUAGCAGCAAAAUCUAUAAAAUAAAUCAAAAUCAAAACAAGGGAUAAGGACAUGUCUUGGAGAACAGCAUAUAGCAGCCUUCUAAACAACACGUGAAAUAAAGAGGGGGAAUAAAAAGCAUUUCACUUAUUUCCGCAUAACGAAGAACUUCAAAAACUCUUGCUCAAACACAAAAAGGCACAAAUUACAACCUCCACCUGUGAGCAGAUCAACUACAUAUUUUCACACAUCUUGCUCUUGAGUUAUCCCAAAAAAACUUCAAAACCUAAGUUGAGUAGAAAACAACCUUACCUGAAGCAUUCACCAACGUGGAAAAAUAAAUUCAUGAAAGAGGAAACUACACUUCACAAAACCAUGAAACAAGCAUCACCGGCAGAAGCAUAUGUUACUCAGUGCUCAAAUAUCCGCCCAGAAGUGGAAAAACUUGAGAUUGCAAACCUGGUUGACAUAUCCACCGACUUACUUUGUGUAAUGUAAUGAGCUAUUAACCUGAGAUUUCCAAUUAGUGACACAAGCCCGCAAUGUAACUUAAAUCAUUCCAAAUCUCAAAACGCCAAAUGUUGAUCACAAGAGGGCAUAGCAAAAACCUGUCUUUUAACAGUCCAAAGAUGACUUUGGGCGGAAAUAGAAGGGAUUCUGACUGGCGUAAGACCAAAGCAAAUGGCCAUUAUUGUGACACCUGUUUUCUUUCUCUGACGUAAAGUCCAAGAAUUGAAACUGAGCAUCAAAAAGACACAAUCAACAAUAACGAACGCCAACGGAGACUCGGUUGGCGAGUGCCUACUUGGUGAACAAGCAUCCAAAGGCCACAUACCGGUUAUUCCGCAUCCAGGAGUCAACUAACAUACCAAUAUAAACACCACAACUGGACGAAGGGACAGCCUAACUUCAAUCUAGAAUUCAGGAUCUCCUUGGAACGUAAUGCCAGCGAUGCAUCAAGAUUCAAAACCUAACACAAAGAUCUUCCCCAAGAGCGAUCAUCAAACUUACUGAGAGAAACUUCUAAAUUGUGACGAAGAAAACCUUCCCAUGAUAGAAAUAAUUCAAUAUUGAAAGAACCCUAAUCCGUGAUGAGGAAAAUAUUCCCUGCAACCUAUCAACAAAGUUUGUCGGGAAGAAAACCAAAAUUGUAAAAUUAUAGAUCAAGUAGCAAUGCAUCAAAACCUAACACGAAGAAGAACUUCCCUGAAAGCGAUCACCAAGGUCUUGAAAGAAAACCCUAAGAAGCAACCCUCCCCUGAUGAAAGCAUUCACUAAUCUGUGAUGAAGAAAUCAUUAACCCUAAUCUGUGACGAAGAAAAUCUACGCUGCAAGCGAUCAACAAAAUUUUUUUUUUGGAAGAAAACCCAAAGAUGUAGGAUGUAAGUAGCUAUGCAUCACCUAAAGAAGAUCCUCUCGGAACCGAUCACUUUCGUCUUCAAAACCUAAGUUGAGUAGAAAACAACCUUACCUGAAGCAUUCACCAACGUGGAAAAAUAAACCCUAUGUGUAACUAGAAAUCUUUCCUGCACCUUCAACGAAGUAUAUUAGAAGAAACUACAAAUUUGUAAUCAACGAAAAACGCUUAAAAUAACUUGCAAAAAACAAAAAAACGCUUAAAAUAAACGUAGAAAAUAAAUAGUCGGUGUCUCGGUGAGUCGGUGACCAUAAAGAUUAUAGAAAUCUUCCACUGGCAACGCAUCGAAACCCAGCGAAAAGAAGAUCCUCCCUGAAAGCGUCGCCAACGUCUUGAAAGAAACCCUAAUUUGUUAUGACAACCUUCCCUGAAGCACUCACCAACGUAUUAGAAAGAACCCCUAAUUUGUAACGAAGAAAAUCUUUCCUGCAAGCGAUCAACAACGUAUUGGAAGAAAAACCAAUUCUGUGACAAAGACGAUAGGAAGAAAUCUUCUAUUGGCUAUUGACAAUUCUGUCACAAAAGAUGCAUCAAAACCAAAAACACAAACAAAACGUUCCUGAAAGCCAUCACCAAGGUAGAGGUAUUGCAAGAAAACCCUCCCUGAAAGGCCUAUACCGGCGCAAUGAGAAGCCCUAAUUUGUAACCAAGAAAGUCUUCCUGUAAGCGAUCAACAACAUAUUUGGAGAAAAACCAAAUCUGUAAACAAAGAUGACAGAAAUCUUCAACUGGCUAUGCAUCAAAACCAAACACAAAGCAAACCUUCCCUGAAAUCGAUCACCAACGUAUGGAAAGAAAACCUAACACAAGGAAGAGGCGAGAGUUUGAAACGAUGAAAUAUUAGGGUGGGGAUGGGCUAUUUAUAGUCAAUUUCCACGUAACGACCAACUUCAAAAAUUGUUGCUCAAACACGAGAAACCCAAAUCACAACCUCCAUCUACGAAAUUUUCAAACACCUUGAGCUUGAGUUAUCCCAAAAAAUUUCAUGAAAUAGGAUGCUACACUUCACAAAACCAGGAGACAAGGAUCAGCGCCAGAAGCAUAUGUUCUUCAGUGCUCGUCGAGGCGGUGAAAAGGUCUAGUCCUAUCCAAAGUCUGUUGGCCUUAACGCAUUACAAGAAUUGAAACUGAGCAUCAAAAAGACACAAUCAACAAUAUGGUACAAUAGUAGUCGGUGUCUCGGUGAGUCGGUGACCAUAAAGAUUAUAGAAAUCUUCCACUGGCAACGCAUUAACACAUUCAAAAAUAUUUUAAGCUUUGAUAACCAGAAAAAACAUGCUGAGAACAGCUGAUAUUCAUAACAAAUUGCACAAUCACAACCUGAAAUAAACACAAUCCAAGCACCACGUGUCAAAUACCAAGCAAUUGAAAUUUCUAAACUCAUGAUAACCACGCCACCUAACCAAAAAGAUUGCAACAUUUAUG